Molecule: long non-coding RNA, 946 nt
Organism: Felis catus (domestic cat)
Lineage: Eukaryota; Metazoa; Chordata; Mammalia; Carnivora; Felidae
Exons: 3
Source: RefSeq, a predicted model, not a curated record
CAUUUAACUUGUGGUUUGUGGAUGUCACUACAAAACGAGGUUUGGGAGAGGGCUGUGUAGUCAACUACAAGUUGUCUACCCCAAGUUUCAUCAGAGAGGAGGUUGGCUAUUGGCUUCAGAUACUGUGAUAGGUUCCAUCGUGGUUUCCAGUGAUCCCUCAUCCCUGGUAUUGACACUUCUCUGCUCCAUAAUGCUUCUCCAUUUGGAUUUUUCUGGUUUUCCUUCAUGAUGAGAUUCAGAGUUUGUCUUUGGAAGGAAUGUGACGGAAGUGGCUGCAUUGUCCUCUUUGCAUCCUCAGUUUCACAGUUCUGCACAUCCUGUGAGAGAGGCAUUAACUGGCAAUCCUUCAAGAUAUUUCUGAAUGCAUUUUGAGAUUUUUUCCCUGGAUUAUCUUUUCAAGAAUAUUUAAAUAGCAAGCAGCCCUGGAAGAUACAAACUUUGUCUCAUAACAGUGCAGAGGACAGAUUAUUCUGCUACCUACCAUAAUAAAGAUGUCUCCCCCUGCAGCAAAGUUCCCGAAGGUUUGCUUAUAGCCUAGUAUAAAAGACUAGAGUCUUCUCUUGUGUGACACAACCCACUGUGUGGUAGGACUCUUAUCCUAAUACCUUGUGGGAGUUGGAACGUGAAGAACUGGCACAAUAAAAUGAUGUUACUCUAGUUUCUGAAGUUGUCUUGAGUCAUGACACAUCCUAUGCCUCGACCUCGGGAGUCUUGUGUCUUCUGCCAGCACCCAAGACACUGUGGCAGGAUAAUUUGUUAGCUUGCAAGGAGGGCAAAAUAUCACAGGGUUUACAGUUAUUACCAGAAAUGUAAUUGGUUACAAAUAACAGAAAAUCCAAAUGCCACUGGCUUCAAUAGAGAUUUAUUUAUUUAUUUAUUUAUUUAUUUAUUUAUUUAUUUAUUUUCAAAUGUUUUAUUUAUGUUUUUGAGAGAGCACGCAAGCAGA